Molecule: long non-coding RNA, 1754 nt
Filed under: Marmota monax (woodchuck)
Lineage: Eukaryota; Metazoa; Chordata; Mammalia; Rodentia; Sciuridae
Source: RNAcentral
CCAGGAUGCUGUUCUAAAUAAGUGUGCAGACCUAGAAAAAGGACAAAUAUCAAGUAAAUCUUGCCUCUAAUGGCCCAUCAAGUAAUAUUCGUGGAGAUUAGCUGAGAGAACCUGUGAAUCUCAGGACAUAUAAAUAACCCUCCUUUUGACAGGCAACACAUAGACAUUUUUUUUAAGAGCUAAAUGUCAGGAAAUCCAUUUCUGGAGGUCCACAAGGAGACAGGCCCAUCAACACGCUGCUACCUCGGCGAUAAAUUUGGGAAUGUAAAAUACAGAUCAUGUCUUUGAAUUUUCACAUCCUCAUCAGCGACCUCAAAAAAUCAAAGACUGGGGAGUCCUCACUUAAAUCAGCUGCUGCUACCCUCUCUGGAAGCAUCUCCAUGCUGAUGUUGUCUCCCAGAUGGUCACAGUGGGAGGGGAUGGAAAGGGAGGCCACCUCAGACCUGCCUCAGUGCACUCGGGAAGAGAACGAGGGGACUGCAGCCUCGCAGGGACCGCGCUGACAGCAUGAGCAUUGUGUCCCUGGGUCCCCCCAGGGAGGAGCGUCUGGACAUGGGUGUGUGCCUGGGCUCAGAGACGCUGUGCUAUCUGUGAGCUGUUUCACCCAAGAUCCAUUUAAUUUGAAAGUUCAGCUUUGAAUCUAAAUCCAAAGGGAUAAAAAUAAUUCUCACCCUAAAAAUCUGGAUGAUUUCUAAUGCUUCUCAGGUUAAGGCUCUGAAAUCUCCACAUCUGAAGCCUGGACACCACCCACCUCAGGGCACAGGAGGAGAUGCCGGGUCUGCAGGAGGUUUGGGAAGGGAUUCCAGGGAGCUGCUUGCAGGACACCUUUCUUCCCACACACAGGCACGCCGGCCACCCUUACUCUGUGGCUGAGGUCAGACAGCAGCAGGAAGCUACGGCAAUGGCCACUGCCUGCUCCUUUGGGGCCGUUUAUUUGCUUCCUUUAGCUGGAUCUUUCUCCUGCCCUGAGGAAGUCCCCCUCAGACCCCCCUUCCAGCCGUUUGCUGUGCUGCACUCACUGGAUCCUUGUGCCACCCCGGACAGCACAUGGGCGAUUCUGCACAUGCCCCGGGCGAUCACUGCAUCAGACCUCAGGUGGAUGGAACAGGGUCCGAUGGGGCAGGCACUGGCCUUGGGGCUGAAGGGCAGAGGGCCUCACGCUGUGGUGCCUGACUGGACCUCACGGGGGACCACAGAGAGACACAUGGCUGCCCCUGAGAAGCCACGUGGCUGGCAAUUACAUAACAUGAGGUUGGAAGUGACAGGUGGCAUGAGAGUCUUGGAGGAAGGGAGGAAGAAUAGAGGAGAGAAGGCGGUCUCCAGCUGGGGUUGGGGAGGCUCUGCAGGAGGAGGCUGCCUAUGAGGAGGAGGAGCCACGGGCAGGGCCGGAAAGGACCAGGCGAUGUACAGACAUCUCCUGAGAGAAAGCCAGAGGGGCCAACGCAGAGGUGUAUGCACGGGAGCUUUCACACUGGCACACUCAGGAGCAACCCGAUGUCUGAUCGUGUGGGAAGUGUGUAUAGACUGGCAAUUCACCAGAGACCAGGGUGGGCCCGCGUGGAGGCCAGCGAGGAGGGGCAGCUGCAGGGAAAGUGGAGCAGGGCCCACGGAGGAGCGAAGCCGAGGCUGCGGAGAUGAUGGCAGGAGAGGACGUUUCAAGGUCACCUUACAUCAAGUGCCGGCAGGGGUCGGGCAGGGCCAAGGCUCCACGGAGGGUAUCAGCAGGCUUAGCUGAAACUGGAAAUGGAACAAUG